GAUGCAGCGUCAGGCAGCCGCUGGGGAGGACGCGGCGGGAGCCUCAGAUGCCACCUACUCCCCGGCCUCUCUCCCAGUUGAUGCUUCUAUUUUAGGCAGCACGUUAUUUCCUGCUGUGAUUUUUUCAGCCUUCUAAUUUGGGCUCUGAGACCACCUCAUAACUCAGCGUGUGUGUUCCUUGAGGGAAGGGGCAGCAGAGCACCCAGCACUGGAUACUCAGUGUCAGAUGAGUGAACAAGCAAAUGGCUGAUGUCUGGUUUCAAUGUUUGCCUACGAGGAGAUGUACCCCGCUCCCAGCUCUUAGCCUCACCAUGCAGUGGAAGGGAAGGAAGCUUCUGAACUGGCAGCUCUACAUUCUUCCCCUCUCUGUGCAACUUGUUUAGAUCACAGAACUGGAAGGGACCCCAAAAAUCCCAUUCUCCCACCCCUCCGAUUAGAGAGGAAGAAACAGAGGCCCAGACUCAACAGACUUGCCAAAACCCAUGGACCUGGUUGGGGGCCCACAUCUAGCGCUUUCCCCAGCCUCACAGCCUGCCUUGUUUAUUUGUUCAGCAGUUUUUGUUUCGCCAUGGCACAGCUUGUUCUGACUCUGGAACAUUUAUGAGAUGAGCCAAUUUUUAAAAAUCAUAGAAAAUAAAUGGUUUGCUCUUGGAGCUGAAGGGUGGGGCAGCCAGGGUGGGAGACAGGUUCCAGGCCAGUUCUGGGGCAGAAUUCUGGCUUAUCCUUGGCUGUGUUUUUUUCUUCUCCUGCCUUGGGAACCAAAAGGAUUUCAGUGGGAUUUCCUGCCUCGAUUUCUCCAGGACUAUGAUAUGGAAAGACUAGAACAUUCAACCAUACACUUUCUGGUUCUCACCUCCACCAUCAUUAGUUCCAUUCCAAACUCUGUCUCCUACCCAUUGAAUUCAAGAUACAGCCUGAUUCAACUGAUCAACCUGGGGAUGGAGGUGUCAGGACUAGCACCUGGACCAUUCUGCCUCCUCUGCCUGCAACGUCCUCUCUCUCUGCUUGUGAACUCUUCUCCUUCAAAACCCAGCCAUUACAUCACCACUUCUAAAACCUUGAACUGAUCCCCCACGUAGUCGGCCAGCUACUUUUUAAAUUUAAAAAAGCCCACCCAGAAUAAACAGGAUAGCUAAAAUGCUGAAUUUCUUUGCUUUUUUUUGACUGGAUAUUAACUCAGUGUACUAAUGUUAGCUAUUAUCUUGUGUUACUUGAUCAUAAUUUACUUGCAGAUAUGUAAAUAUGUGAUUACCAAAAACUUGUAAAUGAAUCCUUGCUAAAUUCAAUUUUUUUAGCCAACAAAAUAAUUUAUUUAAACCUUAAUUAUGUCCAGGAUGGUAGAGGGAGUGGGAUAAGGAUGACAGAAGGACUCCUGGUGGUAAAAAGAUGACUCUAAGGUCCUAUCUACCCUUUUGAUACAACAUGGCUGCCUCAUUUCCCCAAAAGGCCUGGAACAUAGUAGGUGCUCCAAAAGUAUGCAUUAUAUGUAUGAGUGCGUGAGGACGAUUACACUGUCUGACCCUGGGGUCAAUGAAGACUCUGUCAACCCCAGUUGAAUGUCCCAUGAGGGGCCAGGCUAAGAAUCCAUUCAAGAGCUAUCCUAGGCCAGAUGCAGUGGCUCACACCUGUAAUCCCAGCACUUUGGGAGGCCAAGGCAAGCAGAUCACCUGAGGUCAGGAGUUUAAGACCAGUCUGGCCAACAUGGUGAAACCCUGUCUCUACUAAAAAUACAAAAAUUAGCCAGGCAUGGUGGCGGGCGCCUGUAAUCCUAGCUACUUGGGAGGCUGAGGCAUGAGAAUCCCUUGAACCAGGAGGUGGAGAUUGCAGUGAGCCAAAAUCACUCCACUGCACUCAAUCCUGGGCAACAGAGCAAGACUCUUUCUCAAAAAAAAAAAAAAAAAAAAAAAAGAGCUGUCCUAGCCUCAGGCUUUUUCUCCCUAACUGGGCGACAUGCCCAUUCUUAGCAUUAGUACUAAGCAUUCUUAGCAUACUUAGUACUAAGAUUGGUGAGAUCCUGGGGAUGGAUAGGGCAGUGUGUUCUGAAACCCUUUCAAGGAGCAGGGGCAGCAGCCUGGGUUCAGUUGCCCAUUCCAGCUCCCUCUGCCCCUUCGCUCAAGGCAGUUCCCCAAGCAGCAGUCUGGCCAGCUGUUCACCACUUCCAAGAUUAGCUCAGACCUUAAAAAUCACAGCCCAGCUCCUGCUCUUCUCGUGCCAAGGAAAACAGUAGAUGUCAGAAGCCUCCUUAGGUAUCUGGGAGGGAACAGCUCCUUCUGCUCCCUCCCUUCCUUGUAUGAGGUCAUUGAAUCAGGAUGACAAAGCAAACAGUGACAUGUGUUGGGACUUGUUCCCAGACUGAUUCCAGGAUUUCUCCAGCCCCUCCCGCCUCCCCACCCUCAGAAUGGCAGACCCAGGUGUGGACAACAAACUGAGCAGAACUUGGUCCUUGGGAUCCUGGGAAAUAGGGGCUAGUUGUGAGGCACUUUCUGGGGUGGUGAAGAGGAAGCCCUGGAUAGACCUUGGUAAAAGAGGAAAUUGGGAUAUCAGCCCCACGGGCUAUUUGCACGGUGUGUUCCGGGCUUCAGCAUGUUUCUACAUAUUUUAAUGUGAGUUUAGGAGGGUAGGAGUUCUUUUCCAACUUCACAGAUGAGGAAACAGCCUCAUUUAAGGUCAGCAGUUUAAUCAGGGUUACAUGGCUUAAGUGUCACAGAGCCAGACUUGAAGUGAGUUUUGUGACUAAUGAGUUUUGUUACAUUUUCCCACCUCACCACAGUUCCUUGAACUUGUCAUUGGUAUACCUGUUUCAGGCUUUCUGCCUUGUUGCAUACCGCCAUACUAUUGUUUACGUAAUAUUUUUCUUAAAUAAACACAAUUUAAAAGUUAA
RNAcentral lists this long non-coding RNA (2881 nucleotides) under Pongo abelii (Sumatran orangutan). RNAcentral describes it as "lincRNA". Lineage: Eukaryota; Metazoa; Chordata; Mammalia; Primates; Hominidae. The record is from RNAcentral.